This 29-nucleotide non-coding RNA is filed under the name Rattus norvegicus (Norway rat). The record is from RNAcentral. Lineage: Eukaryota; Metazoa; Chordata; Mammalia; Rodentia; Muridae.
UCUACUGUGCAGGUUCUGGAUAUCACACC